GCUUUUAAAGGAUAACAGCUCAUCCAUUGGUCUUAGGAACCAAAAAUUCUGGGUGCAAUUCCAAGUAGAAGCU
Molecule: transfer RNA, 73 nt
Filed under: Myersina filifer
Lineage: Eukaryota; Metazoa; Chordata; Actinopteri; Gobiiformes; Gobiidae
Description: tRNA-Leu
Rfam family: tRNA
About the family: Transfer RNA (tRNA) molecules are approximately 80 nucleotides in length.
Source: RNAcentral